Molecule: ribosomal RNA, 440 nt
Filed under: uncultured bacterium
Lineage: Bacteria
Description: partial 16S ribosomal RNA
Rfam family: Bacterial small subunit ribosomal RNA
Source: RNAcentral
CCUACGGGAGGCAGCAGUGGGGAAUAUUGCACAAUGGGGGAAACCCUGAUGCAGCGACGCAGCGUGAGUGAAGAAGUAACUCGGUGUGGAAAGCUCUAUCAGCAGGGGAGAAAAUGACGGUAUGUGAGUAAGAAGCUCCGGCUAACUACGUGCCAGAAGCCGCGGUAAUACGUAAGGGGCAAGCGUUAUCCGGAUUUACUGGGUGUAAAGGGGGCGUAGACGGCAGUGCAAGUCUGGAGGGAAAGGCGGGGGCUCAACCCCCGGACUGCUGUGGAAACUGUACGGCUUGAGUGCAGGAGAGGUAAGUGGAAUUCCUGGUGUAGCGGUGAAAUGCGUAGAUAUUAGGAGGAACACCAGUGGCGAAGGCAGCUUACUGGACUGUAACUGACGUUGAGGCUCGAAAGCGUGGGUAGCAAACAGGAUUAGAUACCCUUGUAGUC